Molecule: ribosomal RNA, 402 nt
Filed under: uncultured bacterium
Lineage: Bacteria
Description: bacterial SSU rRNA
Rfam family: Bacterial small subunit ribosomal RNA
Source: RNAcentral
UGGGGAAUAUUGGACAAUGGGCGCAAGCCUGAUCCAGCCAUGCCGCGUGAGUGAUGAAGGCCUUAGGGUUGUAAAGCUCUUUUAGCAGGGAAGAUAAUGACGGUACCUGCAGAAAAAGCCCCGGCUAACUUCGUGCCAGCAGCCGCGGUAAUACGAAGGGGGCUAGCGUUGCUCGGAAUUACUGGGCGUAAAGCGCACGUAGGCGGACUCUUAAGUCGGUGGUGAAAUCCUGGAGCUCAACUCCAGAACUGCCUUCGAUACUGGGAGUCUUGAGUUCGGGAGAGGUGAGUGGAACUGCGAGUGUAGAGGUGAAAUUCGUAGAUAUUCGCAAGAACACCAGUGGCGAAGGCGGCUCACUGGUCCGAUACUGACGCUGAGGUGCGGAAGCGUGGGGAGCAAACA